GGAGGUAAAAGCGAUCUGGCUCUGAUGUCUGCCAGCCCACUGAUUGUCAGAGUUGAUUUGGCUGACUUGGCUGGAUAGGAAGUGUCCCCUUUGUCUUUCAUUGCUCCACGGGUGUCCCUCCAGAAGCUGCAUGCUUGGUCAAAGAGGAUGACCUUGCCUGAUAGAGGAGGACAGUUCUUCAGUCAAGGGAAUGUGCGCAGCUCCACUUCCAGAAGCUCCCAACAAGGUUUCAAAUAUGCAACUUCCUUUCUUU
Molecule: unclassified non-coding RNA, 253 nt
Organism: Otolemur garnettii (small-eared galago)
Lineage: Eukaryota; Metazoa; Chordata; Mammalia; Primates; Galagidae
Gene: 7SK
Rfam family: 7SK RNA
About the family: 7SK was discovered as an abundant small nuclear RNA in the mid-70s but a possible function has only recently been suggested. Two independent studies have found that 7SK RNA binds the CDK9/cyclin T complex (known as elongation factor P-TEFb). P-TEFb activates transcription by phosphorylating the C-terminal domain of RNA polymerase II.
Source: Ensembl